AUGGCAGCAUAUCAAAGCACCAAUGCACAACUUCUGCUGAUAGGAUAUUGAAAUACCAGGAUAUAACUCUUAUUGACAGGGUAUCAAAGUACCAGCGCACAAACUCUACUGAUAGGAUAUCGAAAUAACAGUGCACAACCUCUACUGAUAGGGUAUCAAAAUACCAGUAUAUAAUCCCGACUGGUAGGGUAUCAAAAUAUAGUCAAGCUGCGAGUCAAAAUCUAUCUCAGAUUAAACAUAAAUUCAUAUUCCAAUUCAAAAAGUCAGAAACCAAAUGACAUCGAAAUCCAAUGCUAUAAUUGAUAUCAAAAUCAAUAUAAUCUAUCACAAAUCAUUUGACAUAUUGGGAAGAAGAAUAUAUUCAGUAA
Molecule: long non-coding RNA, 368 nt
Filed under: Elaeis guineensis (African oil palm)
Lineage: Eukaryota; Viridiplantae; Streptophyta; Magnoliopsida; Arecales; Arecaceae
Description: long non-coding RNA (EGUI_LNC037845)
Source: RNAcentral